This is a non-coding RNA of Macaca mulatta (Rhesus monkey), 1322 nucleotides long. The record is from RefSeq and is a predicted model, not a curated record. Lineage: Eukaryota; Metazoa; Chordata; Mammalia; Primates; Cercopithecidae.
CCUGAGCUUUUCACCAUCAGGACAUACUGCUUGAUACUGUGAAAGUAUCCAGUAUGUGUUUUUCUUUUUUCUUUCUUUCUUUCUUUUUUUUUUUUUAAAGGUUCGACAUGCACAGACUAUAACCCUAAACCUGGCCAGUUUUUUGUCAACGCAUGACAUUUGGGCAUGGGGGUGGGUAGGGGCAGACGGUACAACAGAGAGUUCAAAUGGAUUGACUUUAUUUCCAAAACCAGUCCUUGGGGAAAGAUUUCAGGGCAUGUCCUACUGAAAGUCAGCAUGCAGAGACUGUCAUUCCUAGAACAGGGCUGACCCAAAGAACAACAGUGCUGCAAGCCAUCUUCACACCAACCCUAUGACGUAGGCAUCAUUAUCCCCCAUUUUACAGAUGAAGAAACUGAGGUUAAGCAAUUUGUCCACCCUACUGCUGGUGAAUGACCGAGCCAAGACUUGCACAUACUGGUUCCCUUGCCUGCACUCCUUUUUAGCCAUACUCCACUCUUGCCUUGGUGGACCAAGAUCCGUGAUGGACAUGUUAUUAUAUUAACAAGAAAACAAACUCUUGAAUUUGGGCCUCUGAUGAUAGUGACACAGCACAUGCACUGGGGUGUUUGGAGACAAGAGAAAAGCCAGUCCCGCAAACAAGCUUCCAGGUGUUUGCUAACGUUGAGGUGUGCAGUCUUGGUCAAUCAUCAAUCCAGUAACACACUGCCCAGUUAAAGCACCGCCGAGCAGAACAGGAAGCAAAAAGCGUGUCCGCAGGCUGCAUUGAGAGCGGCCCUGGCCUGGGUGAGGCAGCCUGCCUCUUAGGAGUGGCAGAGCUCAACAGGAAACCCCAAGGACCUUCAAGCAAUAAGAGCUGAGACCUGGAAGGUUUUUCCCACUGAGAAGUCAAGACCUCUUCCAUAAGGCCCCCUUCUCCACUGAAGCCUGGGUAAUCCUUAACCCUAACUUGUUCGGGGCACUCUUGAGAAGACAGAAAGACUUGUCUGUACCUCUCACAGAGACCACGACCAGGGCGAGCAGCUCAGGUCCUCCGAAACCAGAAUUGGCCGGGUCAGCGUUCCCCUCAGAAACCACACUUUGUUUUUCCUCCAGGGAGCCAGGGACUCAAUCACCUGUGACCCACCGUUUCUGUGUUGCCUACACAGCACACACGUCAAGAUCUAAAAUGGCCUCUGCACCCUGUUGCCCUCACCCAUCCUGGCCCCCACUCUGGGAAUGUGUGCAGCUCCACCUUCAGCAUGAAAGUCAGGAACCCGCGGCUCCUCCCUCCCCUGAAAAACAGAGCAUGACCCAAAGAAUAGAGCUUUUCAUUCUGUACC